AGUGAACGCUGGCGGUAGGCCUAACACAUGCAAGUCGAACGGCAGCACAGGAGAGCUUGCUCUCUGGGUGGCGAGUGGCGGACGGGUGGGGAAUACAUCGGAAUCUACUCUGUCGUGGGGGAUAACGUAGGGAAACUUGCGCUAAUACCGCAUACGACCUACGGGUGAAAGCAGGUGACCUUCGGGCCUUGCGCGAUUGAAUGAGCCGAUGUCGGAUUAGCUAGUUGGCGGGGUAAAGGCCCACCAAGGCGACGAUCCGUAGUUGGUCUGAGAGGAUGAUCAGCCACACUGGAACUGAGACACGGUCCAGACUCCUACGGGAGGCAGCAGUGGGGAAUAUUGGACAAUGGGCGCAAGCCUGAUCCAGCCAUACCGCGUGGGUGAAGAAGGCCUUCGGGCUGUAAAGCCCUUUUGUUGGGAAAGAAAUCCAGCUGGCUAAUACCCGGUUGGGAUGACGGUACCCAAAGAACAAGCACCGGCUAACUUCGUGCCAGCAGCCGCCGCCG
RNAcentral lists this ribosomal RNA (506 nucleotides) under uncultured bacterium. Its description in RNAcentral is "partial 16S ribosomal RNA". It matches the Rfam family "Bacterial small subunit ribosomal RNA", at positions 29 to 523 of the family's 1533-position model. The record is from RNAcentral.